ACUUUUAUAGGAUAGAGGUAAUCCAUUGGUCUUAGGAACCAAAGCCUUGGUGCAACUCCAAAUAAAAGUA
Molecule: transfer RNA, 70 nt
Filed under: Rattus norvegicus (Norway rat)
Lineage: Eukaryota; Metazoa; Chordata; Mammalia; Rodentia; Muridae
Rfam family: tRNA
About the family: Transfer RNA (tRNA) molecules are approximately 80 nucleotides in length.
Source: Rfam by way of RNAcentral